RNAcentral lists this ribosomal RNA (253 nucleotides) under uncultured bacterium. Its description in RNAcentral is "partial 16S ribosomal RNA". It matches the Rfam family "Bacterial small subunit ribosomal RNA", at positions 524 to 776 of the family's 1533-position model. The record is from RNAcentral.
UACGAAGGGGGCUAGCGUUGCUCGGAAUCACUGGGCGUAAAGCGCACGUAGGCGGCUUUCUAAGUCAGAGGUGAAAUCCUGGAGCUCAACUCCAGAACUGCCUUUGAUACUGGAGAGCUCGAGUCCGGAAGAGGUGAGUGGAACUCCGAGUGUAGAGGUGAAAUUCGUAGAUAUUCGGAAGAACACCAGUGGCGAAGGCGGCUCACUGGUCCGGUACUGACGCUGAGGUGCGAAAGCGUGGGGAGCAAACAGG